Molecule: ribosomal RNA, 525 nt
Filed under: Bacillus sp. (in: firmicutes)
Lineage: Bacteria; Bacillati; Bacillota; Bacilli; Caryophanales; Bacillaceae
Description: bacterial SSU rRNA
Rfam family: Bacterial small subunit ribosomal RNA
Source: RNAcentral
GGGAGCUUGCUCCCUGAAGUCAGCGGCGGACKGGUGAGUAACACGUGGGCAACCUGCCUGUAAGACUGGGAUAACUUCGGGAAACCGGAGCUAAUACCGGAUAAUGCAYARCCUCUCAUGAGGYUAUGCUGAAAGAUGGUUUCGGCUAUCACUUACAGAUGGGCCCGCGGCGCAUUAGCUAGUUGGUGAGGUAACGGCUCACCAAGGCAACGAUGCGUAGCCGACCUGAGAUCGGGUGAUCGGCCACACUGGGACUGAGACACGGCCCAGACUCCUACGGGAGGCAGCAGUAGGGAAUCUUCCGCAAUGGUACGAAAGUCUGACGGAGCAACGCCGCGUGAGUGAUGAAGGUUGCAAUUCGGAUGCGUAAAACUCUGUUGUCAGGGAAGAACAAGUGCCGGAGUAACUGCCGGCACCUUGACGGUACCUGACCAGAAAGCCACGGCUAACUACGUGAGCCAGCAGCCGCGGUAAUACGUAGGUGGCAAGCGUUGUCCGGAAUUAUUGGGCGUAAAGCGCGCGCAG